GACGAACGCUGGCGGCGUGCUUAACACAUGCAAGUCGAACGGAAAGGCCCUGCUUUUGUGGGGUGCUCGAGUGGCGAACGGGUGAGUAACACGUGAGUAACCUGCCCUUGACUUUGGGAUAACUUCAGGAAACUGGGGCUAAUACCGGAUAGGAGCUCCUGCUGCAUGGUGGGGGUUGGAAAGUUUCGGCGGUUGGGGAUGGACUCGCGGCUUAUCAGCUUGUUGGUGGGGUAGUGGCUUACCAAGGCUUUGCCGGGUAGCCGGCCUGAGAGGGUGACCGGCCACAUUGGGACGAAGAUACGGCACAGACUCCUACGGGAGGCAGCAGUGGGGAAUAUUGCACAAUGGGCGGAAGCCUGAUGCAGCAACGCCGCGUGCGGGAUGACGGCCUUCGGGUUGUAAACCGCUUUCGCCUGUGACGAAGCGUGAGUGACGGUAAUGGGUAAAGAAGCACCGGCUAACUACGUG
This 468-nucleotide ribosomal RNA is filed under the name uncultured bacterium. Its description in RNAcentral is "partial 16S ribosomal RNA". It matches the Rfam family "Bacterial small subunit ribosomal RNA", at positions 28 to 507 of the family's 1533-position model. The record is from RNAcentral.